UGGGGAAUAUUGCACAAUGGGGGAAACCCUGAUGCAGCAACGCCGCGUGAAGGAAGACGGUUUUCGGAUUGUAAACUUCUUUUCUUAGUGAAGAAGCAAGUGACGGUAGCUAAGGAAUAAGCAUCGGCUAACUACGUGCCAGCAGCCGCGGUAAUACGUAGGGAGCGAGCGUUAUCCGGAUUUAUUGGGCGUAAAGCGCGCGUAGGCGGGCUAUUAAGUCAGGUGUUAAAGCCCGGGGCUCAACCCCGGCCCGCACCUGAAACUGGUAGUCUUGAGUCUGGUAGGGGAAAGUGGAAUUCCCAGUGUAGCGGUGAAUGCGCAGAUAUUGGGAAGAACACCAGUGGCGAAGGCGGCUUUCUAGGCCACGACUGACGCUGAGGCGCGAAAGCUAGGGGAGCAAACAGGAUUAGAUACC
RNAcentral lists this ribosomal RNA (415 nucleotides) under uncultured bacterium. RNAcentral describes it as "bacterial SSU rRNA". It matches the Rfam family "Bacterial small subunit ribosomal RNA", at positions 355 to 786 of the family's 1533-position model. The record is from RNAcentral.